GCAACGCCAGAUUGUUAACCCACUGAGCAAGGGCAGGGACCGAACCCGCAACCUCAUGGUUCCUAGUCGGAUUCGCUAACCACUGCGCCACGAUGGGAACUCCUAUUAUAUAUUUUAACUGUCUUUUUACCUAAUAGUCAGUGUCCAUCUUUUGACUGCUCUGUGAGCUCUAAAGCCACAUACAUCAAAUUUACUCAUACUCCUGGUGCUGUGCCUUUUAAAAGUAGACAUCCCAUACAGGUACCGUUCUAGGUGCUGAAAAUAAGCAGUAAGUAAGAGGCUAUUCCAGUUAUUAGCUGCUGUGUGAUAAGUCACUCCAAACCUCACUAGCUUAAAACAACAGUAAUAUUUAGUUGCUUAUGUUUUUAUAUACUUUGUAUACAACUUGAUAGGGAAGGUUUAUUUCUGUGCCCCUUAGUGUCAGCUCAUUGGAGGUUGUAGUUUCUUUCCACUUCUAAGAUGGCUCACUCAACAUGGUUGGCAUUUAAUGCUACCUGCUGUCAUGGGAACUCGAUGUGAGGCCUCUCCAUGUAGUCUGGGUAUGACUGAUGGACUCUGAGAAUGAGUGUCCUAAGAACAAACAUUCUAAGAGGUAGGAAGUGGAAGCAGGCAGUGCUCUUAAGGAUUAGGCUAAAAAUUGAUGAGUGUUACUUCUGCUGUAUUUUUUUUGUUAAAUAGACAGUCACUCCACAUUCAAUGGGAAGAGAAUUAAACUCACUCUUCUGGUGGAGAAAGUGACAGAAAUGUGUGACCAUGUUUAAUCCACUACACAGACCUAACAAACAAACAAAAAACUAUAGAAAUUAUUGGAUGAGUUUGUCUAGGCUUUCAGUCUCCAAAGAAUCAUGAUAAUAAUAUGAUCAGUUUUUAAAAAGUACAAUAUAAAGUGGAAUUUUAAAAAGUAACUGAUUACUAUUCUUAAACAAUAAUUAUAUUUCUUUGUUUUUAUUUGUAUGGUUUCUUAGUUUUUAAGUUUUAAGUGUGCCUAGAACUCCUUUUUAACUAGUUUUGUGUUUUAUUUUUAACUUUUGUAUUUCAUAAGUCCUCAUGCAUUGAUGUUAUAUUCCUAAAUAUAUGUCUAGUAGUGAGAUUAUUGUAUUUAAGGGUAUGUAUAAUUUAGAUUUUUGAUACCUAUUGCCAACUUGCCUAAUAGAUAAUAUUAAUUUGUACCCCAACUUUUAAUUCAGGGUAUAAAUUACAUUUGCCUGUAACCUUGCUAUCAGAAGGAAUUGUAAAUCAUUGGUUUUUGUUAACCUAAUGGUAAAAGUUGAUAGGUUGCUUUUAUUACUUCUUUAUGCCUAUUUAUGUCCUUUGUCCAUUUUGGGAGGUGUUUAUUUUCUUAAUGAUUUUGAAGAGCUUUUUGUAUGUUAUAGAUUUUGACCCUAUUACAUAUAUUGUAAGUAUCCUCAAUUUUGUCUUUCAAUUUUGCUUAUACUUCUAAAAAAUUCAUAUGAAGAAUUAUUACAUUUUUAUGUAGUUCCAUAUAUUAGUCUUUUUCUUUAUGAUUUUCUUUCUUGGCAAAAACAAUUUUUUUUGGUUUUUUUUGGGUUUUUUUUUUUGCUUUUUUUAGGGCUGAACCUGCAGUAUAUGGAAGUUCCUAGGCUAGAGGUCAAAUAGGAGCCACAGCUGUCGGCCUAUGCCACAGCCACAGCAACACCAGAUCAGAGCCAUGUCUGUGACCUACACCACAGCUCACAGCAACAGCAGAUCCUCAGCCCACUGAGCAAGGCCAGGGAUUGAACCUUCAUUCUCAUGGAUCCUAGUUAGGUUCAUUAACUGCCGAGCCACGAAGGGAACUCUGGCAGAAACAAAGUUGAAUUUAGUUCUCCCUUAUUUGUUAUCUUCUUAAAAUUCUGGUCAUCUUCUAGGAGUUUUGUCAGAUAUAGAAUUUUUGUAUAUUAUGCCUGUUUCUAGUAGGGAAAAAUUGGUAGAUUAAUAAAUUCCUUAGUUAAAAAGACGUCUGUUUUGGGCAUUAAUUUCAGAAUCUUGUCCAUCUCUAAUUGUUUUAGGAUAUAAAGGAAUUGGUAUGUUUUGGGGUUUGGAAAAUUUUUGUUGUAAACAGUUCCAGAAAAUCAAGGUGAAUAAAAACAAAUUGUUUCUUGUUGUCAGUGUUACACUCCCCCACAAAAUGAAACUUUUAGUGAUUGAAGUAUAAAAAUAAGCAACCUUUUAAAAUUGAAAAUAGGAUAAUAUAGUCAACUAGGUUAUAUGGACAGGGUAACUCCUUGAAAAGAAAUACUAGAAAAAAAUUUUUUUUUCACAUCUUAAGAGCUAACAUGACAAUAAGACAUCAACAGGCCAAAAUCUACAUGAAAGUAGGAAUUCAGGAAAGUAAGCAGAAUAUUAAAACUGCGUUUCCUUUGAGGAUAUUUGCCAUAUUCUAGGGAACUUUUACUUUGGUCUUGAAGGGCUCACAAAGUAUAGAAAUUAAGGAGGACUCCAAGGAGGAGUCUAAUAGGAAAUUCCUUACUUAAAAAAACUGAGACUUCAAAGAGCUAGGUCUAUAGAAUAUGUUUAAACCAAGAUUAAAAUCCUUCACGUGCUCUUGCUCACAGGAGGCUGCAAGAAUUGUUUUCUUGGG
This 2581-nucleotide long non-coding RNA is filed under the name Sus scrofa (pig). RNAcentral describes it as "lncRNA (ENSSSCG00030057492.1)". The record is from RNAcentral. Lineage: Eukaryota; Metazoa; Chordata; Mammalia; Artiodactyla; Suidae.